UACGUAGGGUGCAAGCGUUGUCCGGAAUUAUUGGGCGUAAAGAGCUCGUAGGCGGUUUGUCGCGUCGAAUGUGAAAACCCGGGGCUCAACCCCGGGCCUGCAUUCGAUACGGGCAGACUAGAGUUCGGUAGGGGAGUCUGGAAUUCCUGGUGUAGCGGUGAAAUGCGCAGAUAUCAGGAGGAACACCGACGGCGAAGGCAGCACUCUGGGCCGGUACUGACGCUGAGGAGCGAAAGCAUGGGGAGCGAACAGG
RNAcentral lists this ribosomal RNA (253 nucleotides) under uncultured bacterium. RNAcentral's name for it is "partial 16S ribosomal RNA". It matches the Rfam family "Bacterial small subunit ribosomal RNA", at positions 524 to 776 of the family's 1533-position model. The record is from RNAcentral.